AGGCAGCAGUGAGGAAUAUUGGACAAUGGGCGAGAGCCUGAUCCAGCCAUGCCGCGUGCAGGAAGACUGCCCUAUGGGUUGUAAACUGCUUUUACAGAGGAAGAACCACUCCCACGUGUGGGAGUUUGACGGUACUCUGCGAAUAAGGAUCGGCUAACUCC
Molecule: ribosomal RNA, 161 nt
Filed under: uncultured bacterium
Lineage: Bacteria
Description: partial 16S ribosomal RNA
Rfam family: Bacterial small subunit ribosomal RNA
Source: RNAcentral